This 300-nucleotide unclassified non-coding RNA is filed under the name uncultured fungus. RNAcentral's name for it is "partial contains 5.8S ribosomal RNA, internal transcribed spacer 2, and large subunit ribosomal RNA". The record is from RNAcentral. Lineage: Eukaryota; Fungi.
AACGCACAUUGCACCCGGUGGUAUUCCGCCGGGUAUGCCUGUUCGAGCGUCAUUUCUGCCCUCAGGCCCCGUGGAUUGCCGUAAAUAUAAUUUAUAGUAGUUACGGGUACUGGUGUUGGGGAUCUACAGCGCCUUUGGCCUCCUCGUAGUCCCUUAAAUUUACCGGCGUACGCGCUGUUUGUGUCCUUUGCGUAGUGGUUUUACUUUCUCGCACCGGGCCGCAGCGCUGUGUAGCCGCUAAACCCCAACUUUUACUAAAAGCUUGACCUCGAAUCAGGUAGGGUUACCCGCUGAACUUAA